UGGGGAAUUUUGGACAAUGGGGGCAACCCUGAUCCAGCAAUGCCGCGUGAGUGAAGAAGGCCUUCGGGUUGUAAAGCUCUUUUGUCAGGGAAGAAACGGUAGUAGCGAAUAACUACUACUAAUGACGGUACCUGAAGAAUAAGCACCGGCUAACUACGUGCCAGCAGCCGCGGUAAUACGUAGGGUGCAAGCGUUAAUCGGAAUUACUGGGCGUAAAGCGUGCGUAGGCGGUUGUGUAAGUCAGAUGUGAAAUCCCCGGGCUCAACCUGGGAAUUGCAUUUGAGACUGCACGGCUAGAGUGUGUCAGAGGGGGGUAGAAUUCCACGUGUAGCAGUGAAAUGCGUAGAUAUGUGGAGGAAUACCGAUGGCGAAGGCAGCCCCCUGGGAUAACACUGACGCUCAUGCACGAAAGCGUGGGGAGCAAACAGGAUUAGAUACCCGAGUAGUCCCUGAGCGGGCUGGCAAGGCGCAU
Molecule: ribosomal RNA, 472 nt
Filed under: uncultured bacterium
Lineage: Bacteria
Description: bacterial SSU rRNA
Rfam family: Bacterial small subunit ribosomal RNA
Source: RNAcentral